This 197-nucleotide unclassified non-coding RNA is filed under the name uncultured fungus. Its description in RNAcentral is "sequence contains ITS1". Lineage: Eukaryota; Fungi. The record is from RNAcentral.
UUGAUUUAUUUAAUCGUGUUACUCAGAAGAUACUGUAUAAAACAAGAGUUUGGUUGGUUCCUCCGGCGGGCGCCUGGUUCCGGGGCUGCGACGCACCCGGGGCGUGACCCCGCCGAGGCAACAGUUUGGUAACGUUCACAUUGGGUUUGGGAGUUGUAAACUCGGUAAUGAUCCCUCCGCUGGUUCACCAACGGAGA